Molecule: ribosomal RNA, 631 nt
Filed under: Hanseniaspora uvarum
Lineage: Eukaryota; Fungi; Ascomycota; Saccharomycetes; Saccharomycodales; Saccharomycodaceae
Description: partial large subunit ribosomal RNA
Rfam family: Eukaryotic large subunit ribosomal RNA
Source: RNAcentral
GGUAUUUUUUUUUUUUCCAAGGGGAUACCUUAGUACGGCGAGUGAAGCGGUAAAGCUCAAAUUUGAAAUCUGGUACUUUCAGUGCCCGAGUUGUAAUUUGUAGAAUUUGUCUUUGAUUAGGUCCUUGUCUAUGUUCCUUGGAACAGGACGUCAUAGAGGGUGAGAAUCCCGUUUGGCGAGGAUACCUUUUCUCUGUAAGACUUUUUCGAAGAGUCGAGUUGUUUGGGAAUGCAGCUCAAAGGGGGUGGUAAAUUCCAUCUAAAGCUAAAUAUUGGCGAGAGACCGAUAGCGAACAAGUACAGUGAUGGAAAGAUGAAAAGAACUUUGAAAAGAGAGUGAAAAAGUACGUGAAAUUGUUGAAAGGGAAGGGCAUUUGAUCAGACAUGGUGUUUUUUGCAUGCACUCCCCUCUCGUGGGCUUGGGCCUCUCAAAAUUUUCUUGGGCCAACAUCAAUUCUGGCAGGGGGGGGGGGGGAAAAAACCCCCCUACCUCAGUAGUGUUAUAGCUUAUUGAAAGAAUGCUAGCUGGAAUGGAUGACGGCCCUCCCCCGGAACUAGGGGUUACCCCAUUGGGUUUCCCCCCCCCCCCCCUAAAAAAUACAAAAAAACAGCGAGUAUGACACGGUUCGAAG